RNAcentral lists this ribosomal RNA (511 nucleotides) under uncultured bacterium. RNAcentral describes it as "partial 16S ribosomal RNA". The record is from RNAcentral.
GGAGUUAGCCGGUGCUUCUUCUGCGAGUAACGUCACAGAUGUAAGGUAUUAACUUACACCCUUUCCUCCUCGCUGAAAGUGCUUUACAACCCGAAGGCCUUCUUCACACACGCGGCAUGGCUGCAUCAGGGUUUCCCCCAUUGUGCAAUAUUCCCCACUGCUGCCUCCCGUAGGAGUCUGGGCCGUGUCUCAGUCCCAGUGUGGCUGAUCAUCCUCUCAGACCAGCUAGGGAUCGUCGCCUAGGUGAGCCUUUACCUCACCUACUAGCUAAUCCCACCUGGGCUUAUCCAUCAGCGCAAGGCCCGAAGGUCCCCUGCUUUCCCCCGUAGGGCGUAUGCGGUAUUAGCAGUCGUUUCCAACUGUUAUCCCCCACAAAUUGGCAAAUUCCCAGGCAUUACUCACCCGUCCGCCGCUCGUCAUCUUCAAAAGCAAGCUUUUGAAAUGUUACCGCUCGACUUGCAUGUGUUAGGCCUGCCGCCAGCGUUCAAUCUGAGCCAGAAUCAAACUCUGA